This 362-nucleotide ribosomal RNA is filed under the name uncultured bacterium. RNAcentral's name for it is "bacterial SSU rRNA". It matches the Rfam family "Bacterial small subunit ribosomal RNA", at positions 29 to 415 of the family's 1533-position model. The record is from RNAcentral.
AACGAACGCUGGCGGCAUGCCUAACACAUGCAAGUCGAACGAGACCUUCGGGUCUAGUGGCGCACGGGUGCGUAACACGUGGGAAUUUGCCUCGGGGUAGUGGAAUAACUCAGGGAAACUUGAGCUAAUACCAUAUAAUGUCUUCGGACCAAAGAUUUAUCGCCCUGAGAUAAGCCCGCGUAGGAUUAGCUAGUUGGUGGGGUAAAGGCUCACCAAGGCGACGAUCCUUAGCUGGUCUGAGAGGAUGAUCAGCCACACUGGGACUGAGACACGGCCCAGACUCCUACGGGAGGCAGCAGUGGGGAAUAUUGGACAAUGGGCGGAAAGACCUGAUCCAGCAAUGCCGCGUGAGUGAUGAAGGG